GUUUGUUUUUGAUUGAUCAUCUAGUGACCAAAAUGUAAAUCCGUUUUUGGCUGUUUAUAAAUUAAUAAUGUAAUAUCAAAUGACAAAGAUCUGUUUUAGCCGUUAUAUAAAACAAAUAAUGAAUGUUUUUACAUUCUUUCAAAGGAAAGCCUUGUUGAAUGUUUUUUUUUCCAGCUUUCACCUCAUGAAAUAUUUGUCCCAUUGAACUCAUAAACAUUCAUUAUUUUUAUAAUAUCAAAGUUUAUGAGCUGUCUUGGGUUUUUUGUUUUAAAUUCGUACUUGUGCUUAUCUAUGUGGCUAAUCAUCUAACAAAUACUCGUAUGGCUGAUUGAAAUUGCCAUCAAUUAGCAAUAGUUGCUCACAGUUUUUGAACCCCAGAGAGAACCCAGAAACACCAUUAGUGGACAAAUUUUCUUAGGUUUCUGCAACGCAGCUUGUGUAGGACAUUGAGGGGUGUUCAGUCGUUGUCCGCUGAGGGUCUUGUUGCAGGGUUUGGUAGCAGUGUGCCCAGAAGGUGUAGAUCUUUGGUCAAUAUCGGCAGGCAGUUUAAUCUAUUAAUAUUGCUUAGAGUUCAGAAAAGGAGCUCAGUGAACUCAUGCUGAACUGGAAUAAAGACUUGUGCUGUUUUGGCAAUUCGUGGCAUCGGGUUCGAUUCAAUUUAUUUAUACAACGCCAAAUGAUAACACAAGUUGCCUCAAACCUCUCAACACAAGGAAGGUUGAGUUGAACCUUACCCAUCACAGAUUGGCGACAGUGUUAAGGAAAAACACCCAGGGCUUGCUGGGUAAAAAAAUCAAGCCCACAGCACAACAUUGACACCGCUGUGCAGCGCAUUUGCAUGGUUUUGUACAGCUAAUGAGCUCUGACUAGUUCCCUCAAGACCUGUCUCAGAGAAGUGAAGCUACGCAGUUUCAUCAGACCCAAGUCCUGUUUCGAGUCCUUUAGGCGCCUUUUAUUGAGAAACGACCGGUCUGGUUGUGUAGGGCUAGAAAUAACUAAUUAUAAUCACAAUUGAUUAAUUGGUCGGUUUUUUUUUAUUAAUCUUAGUUUUUUUUUAACCCACUAUCUUGAAUUAGCAGUUAUUGAGUAUUUUUCAUAUUCACAGAUUUCAAAAUUUGAGUAACAAAUGUUCCUGCUUUGGUUAUACUGUGUAUACUUUUACUACCUAUUCGUGGUCAUUACAACCUGCAGCAGUAUCACAUUGCCCGGGCAAGGGGGCAUUUGAUUUUCUGUGUCUCCAAGUCUCCAUUUGUGAGCAACAUAACUCGAGGAUCUGAUUUGGGCCAAAUUUGGUAGAAUAAUUGAAGUUUAAUGAAGGACAAAGUCAUUUGAUGUUAAAUCCAUUAAAAGUUAAAGUAACAGCCCAACGUCAAAUUUGUGCCCAAAUAUAUAUCAUAUACCAUAUUCUUCCAAAUAUGAGACAGCGUUGAUGACUGUCUCCCUUUGUCAACUCACCAUCUUCAAAUGUUAUACUGCCACAUAUUUACUGGCUGCUUGAGAGUUAUUUGAUUACUCUGAUGCACGCAGUCUUAUUCGCCAUGAGCUUAAAGUUUGCAU
Molecule: long non-coding RNA, 1557 nt
Organism: Thalassophryne amazonica
Lineage: Eukaryota; Metazoa; Chordata; Actinopteri; Batrachoidiformes; Batrachoididae
Exons: 3
Source: RefSeq, a predicted model, not a curated record